RNAcentral lists this unclassified non-coding RNA (377 nucleotides) under plant metagenome. RNAcentral describes it as "partial contains 5.8S ribosomal RNA, internal transcribed spacer 2, and large subunit ribosomal RNA". The stretch from base 1 to 105 matches the Rfam family "5.8S ribosomal RNA", at positions 50 to 154 of the family's 154-position model. The record is from RNAcentral.
GAAAUGCGAUAAGUAAUGUGAAUUGCAGAAUUCAGUGAAUCAUCGAAUCUUUGAACGCACCUUGCGCUCCUUGGUAUUCCUUGGAGCAUGCCUGUUUGAGUAUCAUGAAAUCUUCAAAGUAAAUCUUUUGUUAACUCAAUUGGUUUCUACUUUGGUAUUGGAGGUCUUUGCAGCUUCACACCUGCUCCUCUUUGUUCAUUAGCUGAUCUCAGUGUUAUGCUUGGUUCCACUCGGCGUGAUAAGUUAUCUAUCGCUGAGGACACUGUAAAAGGUGGCCAAGGUAAAUGCAGAUGAACCGCUUCUAAUAGUCCAUUGACUUGGACAAUACUUUUAUGAUCUGAUCUCAAAUCAGGUAGGACUACCCGCUGAACUUAAGC